GUGAAUCAGCAUGAGGAUGAUUUAAACAGUCAGUACUCCCAGCAGUGAGGAGGAAACAGCAUGAUAUGUUGAGGACAGCUACAGUUCACUGACUCUGUGUGUUUGCAUAUGUGUCCUUCCUCUCUGCUCCCAGCCUUUAAGAGGCCAGUGUUGAUCAGUGGCUGUCCAGGCCUUUCAGAGCCACUGACACGCCGGCAGCACAAUGAUGAUGUCACUGACUCUACUGCUGGCCACCCUGGGGCUCCUUGUUCAGGGUUCAUCAGGACAAAUCACCCUGACUCAGUCUCCUGGAACUCAGUCUGUUGUUCCAGGACAGACUGUCUCUAUCAGAUGUACAGCCAGUUCAUAUGCUAGUAACUACCUCCACUGGUACCUUCAGAAACCUGGAGAAGCUCCUAAACUCCUGAUUAAUUAUGCUUCAACCCGUCAGUCUGGAGUUUCUGAUCGUUUUAGUGGAAGUGGAAGUUCACCUUGGACAGAGUUCAUUCUGACCAUCAGUGGAGUUCAGGCUGAAGAUUCAGGAGUUUACUACUGUCAGCAGAGUUACGACACACCGUUCACACAGUGAUACAACGUCGUACAAAAACCUCCCUCAGCUGGAGAGGAACUGAUCUGACUCAACAGCUGCACUGACACUAAAACAACAGAGGUUUCUCUACAAUGAAAACUCAUGAUUGUAUAAGACAGUAUGAUUUUAAUUGUGAAAAUAUUUAUCAUUCAAUUUAGUACAUCAUUUUAUUAUCACUGAAACAAUGUUUUAUCACACAUCUACAGUUUACUUAAACAGUUUUAGAGCAAAGCUUCAUUCAGAAAAUAAAUAGUUUAAGAAGGAAUUAUGACACAAAAACACAAAAUUUUUUGGUGUGAAAGAAAUUUUUCAUCUCAUAAUUUCUGAAGGUUAAUUCUUGUUUCACUGAAAAUUCUGUGUUAUUAUAGAAUAAUUUGAUUUGUAUAGUGAUAAAUUAUAACAGAAUUUAACUCAAGGCAGACUUUAUAUAGAGAAGUUUAGAGUCUAGGCCGUACUUAACAAAACCUUUAAAUUAACACUAAAAAUGCAGAUUAAUAAAACUGAAGGAUAAAUAAAUCUUUAAUUUGAACAAAUCUUUUAAAUAGUAAUGUGCCUCUUUAACCCAAGACAUUUUGUAUUAUUGAUGAAGCAGACAUACACUCAUUACAACUGUACAUUAAAAUGAAAUCCAUACGUAAGUAUAAAUAAAAUAAUGAAUUACAAAUCUGCUUCAAUGAUGCCGAUAAUGUUCACUUCCUGUUCACACUGUCAUACAGGUGAUAAUUAUAUGUUCUUGCAUUGACGUCAGUGAUGUUGUUGCACUGGAUUACAUUAUAUUCAGGUGUUUCUAAUAUUUUGACCUCCUCAUGUAUUUAAACAGGGAGGACCAAUUAUUACACACAGAGCAACUUUAAAACUUAAAACUUUAACUCAUUUGUCUGUACAGUUGAGCUGUUCAGUAAAAGCAGUAUGUAAAUAUUCCCAGGGUUGAACUUACUGAUCAAAGUCAUUUUAAAUCUCUCUAUGUUGAUGAUAUGCUUUUUUAUAUACUUUUGUGGUUUUAGAGAUUUAAGAAUAAUAUAUAUUCUUUGCAUUGACUCAGUUUUUCACUGGAUGUAAUCCAGUCACUGACACCAUGAAGAGAAAAUCAUUAAGACACUUUGAUAAUAAUAAAGAUGAAAACAAGUGAUUUGAUGAACACGUCUUUAUUAUCUGGAAACAGUGAAAUAAUAUUGAAA
This is a non-coding RNA of Dicentrarchus labrax (European seabass), 1746 nucleotides long. Lineage: Eukaryota; Metazoa; Chordata; Actinopteri; Moronidae. The record is from the annotation of a RefSeq genome assembly.